This 128-nucleotide small nuclear RNA is filed under the name Zalophus californianus (California sea lion). Its description in RNAcentral is "U4 spliceosomal RNA (ENSZCAG00015012517.1)". It matches the Rfam family "U4 spliceosomal RNA". From Rfam's summary of the family: U4 small nuclear RNA (U4 snRNA) is a component of the major U2-dependent spliceosome. The structure of U4 snRNA from yeast and human has been reported. Lineage: Eukaryota; Metazoa; Chordata; Mammalia; Carnivora; Otariidae. RNAcentral also lists the same sequence under 1 other name. The record is from RNAcentral.
AACUUUACGCAGUGACAGUAUCGUAGCCAAUGAGGUUUAUCCGAGGCGCGAUUAUUGCUCAUUAAAAAACAAGACAGCAGGCCCCAAAUGGAGCCACUUAUGCUAAUUAAAGUCCACGUCACCAAACG